UACGGGGGGGACUAGCGUUGUUCGGAUUUACUGGGCGUAAAGGGCGCGUAGGCGGACCUUCAAGUCGGAUGUGAAAUCUGUCGGCUUAACUGACAGUCUGCACCCGAUACUGUUGGCCUUGAGUACGGGAGAGGAGAGCGGAAUUCCUGGUGUAGCGGUGAAAUGCGUAGAUAUCAGGAAGAACACCGGUUGCGAAGGCGGCUCUCUGGACCGAUACUGACGCUUAAGCGCGAAGGCUUGGGGAGCAAACAGG
This 253-nucleotide ribosomal RNA is filed under the name uncultured bacterium. RNAcentral's name for it is "partial 16S ribosomal RNA". It matches the Rfam family "Bacterial small subunit ribosomal RNA", at positions 524 to 776 of the family's 1533-position model. The record is from RNAcentral.